This 775-nucleotide ribosomal RNA is filed under the name Salmonella enterica subsp. enterica serovar Bovismorbificans. RNAcentral describes it as "partial 23S ribosomal RNA". It matches the Rfam family "Bacterial large subunit ribosomal RNA", at positions 482 to 1256 of the family's 2925-position model. The record is from RNAcentral. Lineage: Bacteria; Pseudomonadati; Pseudomonadota; Gammaproteobacteria; Enterobacterales; Enterobacteriaceae.
GACCGAUAGUGAACCAGUACCGUGAGGGAAAGGCGAAAAGAACCCCGGCGAGGGGAGUGAAAAAGAACCUGAAACCGUGUACGUACAAGCAGUGGGAGCACCCUUUGGGGUGUGACUGCGUACCUUUUGUAUAAUGGGUCAGCGACUUAUAUUCUGUAGCAAGGUUAACCGAAUAGGGGAGCCGGAGGGAAACCGAGUCUUAAUUGGGCGUUAAGUUGCAGGGUAUAGACCCGAAACCCGGUGAUCUAGCCAUGGGCAGGUUGAAGGUUGGGUAACACUAACUGGAGGACCGAACCGACUAAUGUUGAAAAAUUAGCGGAUGACCUGUGGCUGGGGGUGAAAGGCCAAUCAAACCGGGAGAUAGCUGGUUCUCCCCGAAAGCUAUUUAGGUAGCGCCUCGUGAAUUCAUCUCCGGGGGUAGAGCACUGUUUCGGCUAGGGGGCCAUCCCGGCUUACCAACCCGAUGCAAACUGCGAAUACCGGAGAAUGUUAUCACGGGAGACACACGGCGGGUGCUAACGUCCGUCGUGAAGAGGGAAACAACCCAGACCGCCAGCUAAGGUCCCAAAGUCAUGGUUAAGUGGGAAACGAUGUGGGAAGGCCCAGACAGCCAGGAUGUUGGCUUAGAAGCAGCCAUCAUUUAAAGAAAGCGUAAUAGCUCACUGGUCGAGUCGGCCUGCGCGGAAGAUGUAACGGGGCUAAACCAUGCACCGAAGCUGCGGCAGCGACGUUUAUGCGUUGUUGGGUAGGGGAGCGUUCUGUAAGCCUGCGAAGG